Molecule: long non-coding RNA, 1220 nt
Organism: Ananas comosus (pineapple)
Lineage: Eukaryota; Viridiplantae; Streptophyta; Magnoliopsida; Poales; Bromeliaceae
Exons: 3
Source: RefSeq, a predicted model, not a curated record
GUUUCGAUUUUGAUUUUGAGGUCGGAGCGGGCGGCGGCGGCGGCGGUGUGGGGGGAGGGGGUGGUGUGCGGCCGCUGACAGAAGAGAGUGAGCACAUAGCAGGUGCUGCCGGCACCGGAGGGCGGAGGGUGCCGGCGCUGUUGCGUGCUCACUUCUCUCUCUGUCAGCCCUCGUUUCUUGGAACUCGACCACCGACGCCCGACCCACCCACCCGCCUGCCUGCGUGCCUGCCUGCCUGCUGCACUUUUUGUUAUUCUUUCUUUUCUCUUCCCUUCGAAUUUAAACGGUGCUUUGGGUUUUUUUAUUUUUAUUUUUUUGUGGUGUUUCUCGAUUCUUUCUCUGUCUGGAAACUGUGUGAUUUGAUUGAUGAGUGUACGCCCGCCCUUAUCUUUUCUAGUUCGUCUGUCAGCUCGCGCAUCGAAGGAAGGGAUGUGUGUCGCCAUGACGACUGCUACUUUUUUUUUUUUUUGUGUUUUGUUAUAUUAAUUUUUCCCUUUCCCUUUUCCCUUUUUUUCCUUUUCUCUUUUUUGUUGUGGAUUUUGUGAUGUGCAGGAGGAGGAAGUAGAAAAUAAAAUCAUCGGAAAAUGGAGAGAGAGGAAGGGAGAGAGAGAGAAAUUUGGGGAAAGGCCCGAAGCGUGGAAGCGCGAGAAAUCACGAAGGGACGGAUCAGACGGGAUGCUAAAGACUUUUUACUGUUUCAUUGCUGCUGCUUUACAUUAUCAUAGAGAGGAGCAUCAUCUGCUGUUGCUUUAUGAUCCAGGAGAAUUUCCAUAUUUGAAGGUGCUUCUCAUACUAUUUAUGUUUUUGGCCCAACCACCAUCACAAUUACAAAGCAACAUAAUUUUUGUAAGUUUUUCCAUGCAUGCUUCUGUUGUUACCAGUCUAUUUAAUGUAUCUUUAACCUUUUUUUCUCAAUAAGAAAAUGAAUUUAUGCUGCUUUUUGCAUGAAGUAGGAAGAUAAGCAAGUUGUGGCAUAAUAUUCGAUUUGCGAACAGGAUGCAUAGCUUCCUAUUCUAAGUUGUCUUGUAAGUUUUUCAAUGACAACCAAAGUUGCCGGCAUUGUCUUGUAAGUUUUUCAAUCACAACCAAAGUUGACGACGUCAUCUUGUAAGUUUUUCAAUCACAACCAAAGUUGCUGACAUCGUCUUGUAGUUAUUCACUCAGAGCCUUUUAAGAUGCUCUUCACAUAGUUGUUAUGCCGAAUGAAAGAGAUUUUUAUU